This is an RNA transcript of Scylla paramamosain (green mud crab), 3685 nucleotides long. It is a transcript of the gene named U11/U12 small nuclear ribonucleoprotein 25 kDa protein-like, with no coding region annotated. The record is from RefSeq and is a predicted model, not a curated record. The transcript has 6 exons. NCBI's taxonomy places the organism in Eukaryota, Metazoa, Arthropoda, Malacostraca, Decapoda, Portunidae.
AAUCAAGUUUGUAACAAUCAUCAAGAUCAAGAUUGUGUUUUUGACUUGCUGUAGUAUUACCGGCACUGCCCCUAGUGCUAAUACAUCCAUACAAAGCUUCCUGCUGUCCGCCACGCCUCCAUACACUCACCCUGGGCACCGCCACCGCUAAAAUUGGAUCAAUCCCAGUAAUGGUGGUACUACCCAGUUUGCCCACCCUUGCCCGCACUGCAGCUAUUGGAGGAUUUAUUGUCAUUGGCAGUGCACAUUACUUCAGAGGGCGGAUCCAGGAUGGCAUAAAGCAGUCUGAGUACUACCAAGAAAGUCUAAGAAUAGUUCGAGAAAACAGAGGUGUUGCUCACUUGAUGGGUGAGCCAAUCAGGGACGGCAGGCUGGACUUGGGUGACAACAUAAACAAUUUUUGCACAGGCAAGGAGGCUCAGUUUCAAGUUCCCCUCAAAGGGACAAAACAGACAGGAAUUUUGUAUCUUUGGGCUUCAAGAUCUGACAGCAUCCAGCCUUGGUGUGUAGACCGUCUUGAGCUUAGUGUUGAGGACCAGCCUGGAAAACGUAUCCUGUUGAGGAAGGAGCACACAAGUGCAGAGAAGCAAACUUUUUUGGAUGUCAGCAGUGUUGAUCCCAUUGGCAGUCACACAGACCAUCACCAGCCUUAACACACCUCCAUCCUUCUGAUAGAUCCAGAAUACAAGAAAGUGGAAAAAUGGAUGAGGAUAAAAUAUCAUCUCAUGCUGAGCUAAAGAGGUUUUUUCAAGAGGCUGUGAGUCAUCUGUUGGAAGCUGAUCCACUCCUAUCUGAUCUCCAUCCACAGGUCACUCUUGAAGAGACAGGAAUGGUUUCCCAAUCUUUGAAAGCCAAUGAUGGACAUGCUGAGGCACCUACCUCCCCAGCCUGACCUACUAUGCCAGCCACACAUGUGUUGGUUCUUCCACAAUUCCACACACGCUUCCUCUAGUUGUGUGGCGAGUGUCCAACAAUUCCUUCAUCACAAGCAUUUCUCUUUAGGGAGUCUUGCAGUAUCUGGCCCAGUCUCAAUGAUUUUCCACUAUUAUGAAUUACCAGAUUAAGUGGAGGAGAUACCAUCAGUGGUGUAAACAGACAGGACACACCAUUUCUAACCCUUCGUUCCCUAAGUUCAACUUCUUACUGUAUGUGAAACAUAAGUGCAAUGUGUCACCUUCAGUGAUUAAAGAUCACAAGACCAUGCUCAGGAGUAUUUUCCAUCUCCAGGGGUGUGACCUAUCUAAGGAGCCAGUCCUCCAGAAGUUGAUCAGAUAAUUUUCCAGGAAGGGUUUAGGUCUUGGGGUGGGUACCCUUCUUGGAAUGUGGAUGUGGUUUUAGCAGCAAGCCUCCAUUUGAACCUCUGCAUUGGGCUUCCUUCUGGGACCUAUUGAAGAAGACCCUCUUCCUCUUGCCCCUUGUGAUGGUAAAAAAAAUUAGGGAACUGCAAGUCCUGUCAUUUUUGACUGCUAUGCAGGAUGAUGACUUACUUCUUUCUUAUCUUCUGGACUUUAUAGCCAAGAUGGAGACAGGGGAAUUUAGUGCCUUGAGAGUUUUGUCUUCAUAGUCUUGCCUCUGUUGUGAAUCUGAAGAAGGAGGAAUGUGUGCUGUGCCCUCUCAGGGCUUUGUCCCCCUACUGACAGGUAAUGUUGUCCUUUCACCCUUUCUUUCUUUGUUAAGGACCAGUUGAGACCAAUGUCUAAGGCAGCUCUCUCCUUCCUCAGAGAGACCAUUAAGGGGGAUCAUUAGGUCUUCUGGGAAGAACUGGGAUCCUUGCUGAAAGUCAGAGAACAUGAUAUUAGAGCUAUUACCACUUCUAUGUGUCAUGAUCGUUUACUCACUUGCAAUCGUACGAUUCCGGUUAUCUUUCUAAGAAAGUCGAUGUUACACUGAUCCUGGAAAGUUUUAAAGGUCUGGAUUUUUAAAGGGUUCGAGUGCCUACCCGACCUAUCCGAAAUCGCCAGAAUUACACCCUCUCACUCUACCUUGACACAGCACACCUGGAAUCACCUCUAAUACCAGAUCAAUGUUGGGGGAGUAGAAAACACAAUUAUUCUAUGUUACAACCACAUAUAUUAAUACUAAUGAUAAUUCACAAACAACAUGAGGUAGUACAUGUUACUACAUGACGUUCUCAUCACUUCACAUAACACCAGAACCCGUUUACACCACCAAUCACAGAAAUAUUUCUCUCAACCGCAGGAAUUUACUCAGACGCCAUUACCAUGUCCCCAGACAAUAAUUCCCAUAUUUCACCUCCUCAAGCGUCACAGAUCACCAUCAUCACCAAAGACUACCCAUAACACCAUAACAUCAUCCCCAAAAUCACCAAUACACCACAACACCAGCUUCCAAGGUCAGCACCUCAACCUCCACUCACAAAAUGGCUGCCAGUGUGACCUGUGACCCCUUCAAACAGCGUCACCAGCACAACUCAACAACCGAAUUUCAGUGGACAAGAGCUCUUGGUACCACAAAAGACUCACUAACCUGAUCCUGAAUAUCAAGGUUAUACCGCUACACCAAUACCUCCACGCACUUACUCCACCACCAAUCCACAUCAAGAUUCUUCCCUGAGAGUCGCCACCUUCCUCUCUACUUCAUGACCUAAGGCGCUCUACCUUCCCCUCCUUGGAAUGUGUUGUUGCCCACUCAAGCUCCCCUCGUUUCAACAUAUUUCCACCUCAAUUAUACUACCUCCCUUAUACAUACAAAGAUACAAAGAACUUAAAUUAUGAAGAGAAUAAUACUACAUGAUAUAAAAUGAGUAAAUAAGCCUUACACUACUUAUAACCAAUAAUAAGGAUAAUGUCUGAAAGGCAGGUAACCAGAACACAGGGGACACUCAGAAAACGUGUUCCUUUUCAAGGUAAACCUGGCCAAUAACAUGACACAUGUUGUUCUGGAGGAACAGACCCAUCUCUGGCAUUUUGGAGAUGGCAAGUUGGAGGACUCAUUCAGUCUUCACUGACCACUACCUCAAAGACGUUCAAUGUCAGGAUGGUGACACCUUCGCCUUGGGCUUGGUAGCGGCUGCUGAUGAUGUGGUCUAGCUUUCCCUCGCAGGGCAUUCACUUGGUCUCAGGGCUCCUCUCUUUGCAAGGUCUUUACUCACUUUGGAUGUGCUUUGGAUUUGAGUCAGUAGUAAAGCACUAGGCGUAUUCUGGUUGGGCACACCAGCAUACUGCUUCUAGAGACAAGGCACAGGUUCACGACUGGGGGAGUAUUUUAUGUUUGUGGACAAUUCGUCUUCUUUGCACAUACACCUGUUUCCCUUCCAUGAGUAUGACCCUCUACCUUAACAUUGUAGUCAGCAUAAGCUAUGAGUGAAACGAAUAGUAUUUUUAAUCCUAAAAUCCUCUUCGUGCCUUCCGUUACAAAUGUAUCCAUUCAAAAAUGUAUGUUGGUUUUAUCUUUUUGUGCUGUGAAAAUGGUUUGUGUUCAGGACUAAGUAUAAGCUAUGUAUGAUGCAGUUAAGUGAAAAAUGUAUUUUAGGAUUAAAAAUACUUUGUUCACCUUUUACUUGGUGGGUUAAUUAUGGCGAAUCUUUUCAUCUAGAGAUUUCAACAUCCGACUAAAACAUUAUCUUUCCAAAUGCUUAUGUUGAUGUUAUCGUUAUCAAAGAACUAAGAAGAAUGUGAAUUUGAAGUGUUGGAACUGUAUACUGAGCAGGAUGUGAAAAAUAAUA